Molecule: ribosomal RNA, 897 nt
Filed under: Ophiostoma piceae
Lineage: Eukaryota; Fungi; Ascomycota; Sordariomycetes; Ophiostomatales; Ophiostomataceae
Description: LSU rRNA
Rfam family: Eukaryotic large subunit ribosomal RNA
Source: RNAcentral
AGCAUAUCAAUAAGCGGAGGAAAAGAAACCAACAGGGAUUGCCCCAGUAACGGCGAGUGAAGCGGCAACAGCUCAAAUUUGAAAUCUGGCCUUCGGGUCCGAGUUGUAAUUUGGAGAGGAUGCUUUUGGCGCGGCGCCGUCCGAGUUCCUUGGAACAGGACGCCAUAGAGGGUGAGAGCCCCGUACGGGCGGCCGCCUAGCCUUUGUAAAGCUCCUUCGACGAGUCGAGUAGUUUGGGAAUGCUGCUCAAAAUGGGAGGUAAAUUUCUUCUAAAGCUAAAUACCGGCCAGAGACCGAUAGCGCACAAGUAGAGUGAUCGAAAGAUGAAAAGCACUUUGAAAAGAGGGUUAAAAAGUACGUGAAAUUGUUGAAAGGGAAGCGCCUGUGACCAGACUUGCGACCCGUGGAUCAUCCGGUGUUCUUCACCGGUGCACUCCGCGGGCUGCAGGCCAGCAUCGGUUUUGCUAGGGGGAUAAAGGUCGCAGGAACGUAGCUCUUUCGGGAGUGUUAUAGCCUGUGGCGUCAUGCCUCUGGGGAGACCGAGGACCGCGCUUCGGCAAGGAUGCUGGCGUAAUGGUCACCGGCGACCCGUCUUGAAACACGGACCAAGGAGUCAAGCAUUGGGGCGAGUGUCUGGGUGCCAAACCCGCACGCGAAAUGAAAGUAAACGCAGGUGAGAGCUUCGGCGCAUCACCGACCGAUCCUGAUGUCUUCGGAUGGAUUUGAGUAAGAGCCUUACCGCUUGGACCCGAAAGAUGGUGAACUAUGCCUGUAUAGGGUGAAGCCAGAGGAAACUCUGGUGGAGGCUCGCAGCGGUUCUGACGUGCAAAUCGAUCGUCAAAUAUGGGCAUGGGGGGCGAAAGACUAAUCGAACCAUCUAGUAGCUGGUUACCGCCG